GACGACCGCUGGCGGCGUGCCUAACACAUGCAAGUCGCGCGAGCGGCGGACGGGUGAGUAAUGUCUGGGAAACUGCCUGAUGGAGGGGGAUAACUCCUGGAAACGGUAGCUAAUACCGCAUACCAUCAGAUUUGCCCAGAUGGGAUUAGCUAGUAGGUGGGGUAACGGCUCACCUAGGCGACGAUCCCUAGCUGGUCUGAGAGGAUGACCAGCCACACUGGAACGGAGACACGGUCCAGACUCCUACGGGAGGCAGCAGUGGGGAAGAUUGCACAAUGGGCGCAAGCCUGAUGCAGCCAUGCCUCGUGUGUGAAGAAGGCCUGCGGGUGGUAAAGCACUUUCAGCGGGGAGGCGUUACCCGCAGAAGAAGCACCGGCUAACUCCGUGCCAGCAGCCGCGGUAAUAC
This 406-nucleotide ribosomal RNA is filed under the name uncultured bacterium. Its description in RNAcentral is "partial 16S ribosomal RNA". It matches the Rfam family "Bacterial small subunit ribosomal RNA", at positions 28 to 526 of the family's 1533-position model. The record is from RNAcentral.